AAUGGCCUCCGCAACAGUCACUCUUGUGUUAGCAAUACUGUCUCUAAGCUUGCCAUCUCAAAUCUCAGCUGAUACCUACUUGUACUCAUCACCUCCUCCUCCCAAGAAGCCCUAUUAUUAUCACUCUCCUCCACCACCUUCACCUCCUCCACCUAAGCCAUACUACUAUCAUUCACCACCACCACCUUCACCUCCUCCACCCAAGCCAUACUACUAUCACUCACCACCACCACCUUCACCUCCUCCACCUAAACCAUACUACUAUCACUCACCACCACCACCUUCACCUCCUCCACCUAAACCAUACUACUAUCACUCACCACCACCACCUUCACCUCCUCCACCUAAACCAUACUACUAUCACUCACCACCACCACCUUCACCUCCUCCACCUAAGUCAUAUUACUAUCACUCACCACCACCACCACCCAAAAAGAAGCCAUACUACUACCAUUCUCCCCCACCACCUUCACCACCUCCUCCUAAGCCAUACUACUAUCACUCUCCCCCACCGCCUUCACCUCCUCCACCUACGCCAUACUACUAUCAUUCUCCCCCACCACCCUCACCACCUCCACCUAAGCCAUACUACUACCAUUCACCACCACCCCCACCGAAGAAGAAGCCUUACUACUACCACUCUCCACCACCACCUUCACCUCCUCCUCCAAAGAAGCCAUACUACUACCACUCCCCACCUCCUCCCAAGAAGCCCUACAAAUAUUCAUCUCCCCCACCUCCAGUGCACCCUUACCCUCAUCCUCACCCCCAUCCC
This 775-nucleotide long non-coding RNA is filed under the name Phaseolus vulgaris (common bean). Its description in RNAcentral is "long non-coding RNA (PVUL_LNC002044)". The record is from RNAcentral. Lineage: Eukaryota; Viridiplantae; Streptophyta; Magnoliopsida; Fabales; Fabaceae.